ACAUGCUGCUAGGCGUCACUGGUGGAUUGUGAGACUCAUGAGAAUUAUCUAGAUGAUCAAUAAUUCUCAUUGGGCUGAGUUGGAAUUGUUUCGAUCCACUGAAAGGAGUUUCAGUGAUAUUGUUGAUAGUGAUCAAAAUAUAUCUCACUACCAGAUAUAAUAGAACCUAUGGGGUCACACACAUAAGAGGUUGUGAUUGAUCGGAUAGCUAGAUCGCAAUUAUUGAAUCGUCGGAGGACCUAAUUGUCAAUAUGUUGAUAAU
This 262-nucleotide long non-coding RNA is filed under the name Ananas comosus (pineapple). RNAcentral's name for it is "long non-coding RNA (ACOM_LNC031429)". Lineage: Eukaryota; Viridiplantae; Streptophyta; Magnoliopsida; Poales; Bromeliaceae. The record is from RNAcentral.